CUUAGAAGCUGGGUGGACGGUGAAUCCGGGUUUAUAUGGUGGUGAUAAUAGAACCAGAAUGUAUAUUUAUACCAAUGCUGGUCAAGCACAUUGUUUCAACACAC
This is a long non-coding RNA of Vitis riparia (riverbank grape), 104 nucleotides long. RefSeq lists it as uncharacterized. The transcript is spliced from 3 exons. The record is from RefSeq and is a predicted model, not a curated record. Lineage: Eukaryota; Viridiplantae; Streptophyta; Magnoliopsida; Vitales; Vitaceae.